CUUCCACUUGCCUGUGGAGACGUUGGGCCAACUGAUCUUCUUGGUAUACUUUAAUCCAGUCUCAGGAACAAGCAUCAGUGACUCUGGCUAAAAGCUCUAGAUAAUACUCAUUCUCCGGGCAGCAGACAAAAGACUUGGAGACAUACACAGCUGAAGGAAAUGAAAAGGCAACAAGGCUAAGAGAACAAAGAUGAGCAUUGCCACGGUCCGGAGGAUGGUGGUGGAGGAAGCCUUCUCUACGCUGGUGCCUCUAUUGGAACUUUCAGGAAAUGAACAUGUGUGUUUUGUGUUUUUCCCUUUACACCUCAAGAAACUUGGAACAAUGAUUUUCUUUUAUGGAGAAGCUUACAUUUAAGCAGAUUAAAAAUUAGCCCCAAGAAUAGAAAUACAGAAUCAAAGUCCACAAAUUUAAUUAUUGUUUCCCCUGGUUAGCUGAUCUUCAAUUCUGAUAUCUUCCUCUCUCUGGUGUAGGGGAGUAAGGGUUAUACCCAUUUUGAAAUUCGUUGUUGUAUUACGACUACUAAUACACAGGGAAAGUUUCUAUGCAUUCAUUUAUUCAUCAAUAGAUAUUUAUUAGGACUCACUGUUUAUGGAACUGCCCAAGAUAUUGUGGGAGAUACAAGGGAGAAGAAAACAUCAACCCUGUUCUCAGAGUGUUUAAAGUCUACCAGGACUUCAAACGUGUCCAUUGCACACGUAAGCAUAAUAAAAGUUAAAAGGAGGUAUGCUAUAAAAUGGAUCAAAAUCAAAGGCUUUAAGAAGAGGAAAGGCAUUCCUUCUAGCUUUGGUCAGAUUUGGUCCACAAUCAAAUCAAAUUCUUAUUAAGUUCAUAUUCUCUUACUGACAAACUAAACUGCUGCAAAAAAUAAUCCUCCCCCAUGGGAGAUCUUACAGACAUACCCUAAUUGCCCUAGCUAAGUUUAGAAUGUAGCUCUGAAAAGAAUGACAAAAGACCUUGAAGAGGCAAGCAAGAGAUUUUGAAAUAUCUGGUCUAUAAGGGUAAAAGACUGUAUGAUACCAAAGCCUCAGGGUACCCAGCUGGGGUCAAUCUAUAUUAAUUGCUAACACCUAGAGGUAAUUAGCAGUAAUUACCCAAAGGAGUGAUGGGAUGGCCAGACGGACUUAAAGGCAGCAAUUCCAGGAGCUCCUACCAUGUUGGGAACCUAACAGCUUCUAGGUAACAAGAAAUAAAUUAGGUUUCCCCAGCAAUUUAUGUAGAUAGUUUUAAGAUUGUAUUACAAAGGACCCCGUGGGGCAAGCUUUUAUAAAUAUAUUACUAAAACUCGUAGCCCUUGCUACCCAGAGGUGAAGUUUAUUUUCUCACCCUUUGAGUCUGAGCUGAUCUUACCACUUGCUUUAACCGAUGAAUAUGGGGAAAGAGAAAUUGUGCAACUUUUGCUAGUAAGUCUUACAAGACCUGCAGCUUCCAGCUUCACCUUCUAGGAACAUUGCCCUGAGAUCAUCUUGUGAGGCAGCUGGUCUAGCCUCCUGGAGGAGAAGCAGUUUUGUGGAGAAGAUUCCAGGCAUCCCUGCCAACAAGCACCAACUCCAGAUAUAUGAGGAAGAGUAGUUUACAACUGACACUGUUUGGAAUUGCUGGCACAUGGUGA
This 1610-nucleotide long non-coding RNA is filed under the name Homo sapiens (human). Its description in RNAcentral is "HSALNT0041204". Lineage: Eukaryota; Metazoa; Chordata; Mammalia; Primates; Hominidae. The record is from RNAcentral.